Long non-coding RNA from Perca flavescens (yellow perch), 1097 nucleotides. RefSeq lists it as uncharacterized. The transcript has 4 exons. The record is from RefSeq and is a predicted model, not a curated record. NCBI's taxonomy places the organism in Eukaryota, Metazoa, Chordata, Actinopteri, Perciformes, Percidae.
UCUGUUUCUUGUUUGGUCGACCUGGAUUACGUCUUGUCCCCUCUGCUUCGGGACGAAACGGGUCGUUAAACUCUGGCAAGAGUUUUAACUGACAAACAACGCACACAUUUUCAGAAGUGAUUAAUGGAGCAUUGGAUGAAUUCUUCCCGCCUGACAGUGGGGUGCAGAUUAUUGCAGAGCCAGGCCGGUACUACGUGGAAUCAGCCUUCACACUGGCAGCAAACGUCAUUGCCAAAAGAAUAGUCAGUGAUGAUGUGGAUGAACAAAGUGACGGUGAGGAAAACAGCCCUGGCAGAAUGAUGACGUACUACCUUAAUGAAGGAGUGUUUGGCUCCCUGAGUUGCAUUGUCCAUGACCCUGCUCACUCCAACUAUGAGCCAUAUCUUCACAGGGCUGGAGGCAAUUCCAGGUGCAACUCCCAAUGCACUUUUGUUUGCAGAGUAAAGUUGAAGCUCCAAAGGAACAUGUUAGACCGUUUCCCUGCAGGGAGAUCAGGAGCUAAAACCUAAGUGUUGCUCCUCCAAAAGGCCUCAGGCGAUACUUUAACUACAGUCUGCAAACACUGUGGACACACAGCACUCGUUUCAAAUGCCAACACGCUGCUGGCAAAACGGUUAAGGAUGGAAGCUUGGGUUGCAUCGCUUAGGCCUAAUUGAACGGAUGAAUGAUGGUAUUCUUCGGUAGCCUGAGUUACUUUAACCGUUGUUCAUGUGAAAUCUCAAAGACAGCCUGAUGCUUUGUUUAUAGACUAUUUGUGGCUGGCUGUUUGACCCAUCAAUUCCUGUCGAUAAAGUAUAAUAGGGUAAAUGCUGUAUAGUGCAUACACUUGUAGAAAGCUGAAAGCUGCUACCAGCCAAGCUAAAGCUAACAUAGUUAGCCUAAAGAAACAAGGCGUCUGUCCCAACAAAUGUUACGGUUCGGAGCCGUGACGCUGGAAACGUAACACCAAUCUACAACAGCAGUCUGGGUCUGAUAUAAGGUAAUCUAGACUGAUUGAAGUGUUCUUGGAUACACAGUUUGUUGCUACUACUGCAUUACAUGCACAGCCAACCACCAAUCACGAUCAAUGUUGCAACCUAAACUUUAGAGUAAGCAAU